GACGAACGCUGGCGGCGUGCUUAACACAUGCAAGUCGAGCGAAGAGACGAGGUGCUUGUUCCUCGGACGGUAGCGGUGGACGGGUGAGUAAUAAGUGGAUAAUCACCUGACAACACCGGCAUGACAUCGGCAUACCGGUGUUACUAAUGCAUAAUAUACUGAAUCGCUCGCAUCAUUAGUCUAAGACGGAUUUUGUGUCAGUUAUGGAUGGACCCGCGCCCCAUUAGCUAGUUGGUAAGGUGAUGGCUUACCAAGGCAACGAUGCGUAGCCGACCUGAGAGGGUGAUCGGCCACACUGGAACUGAGGCACGGUCCAGACUCCUACGAGAGGCAGCAGUAGGGAAUCUUACGCAAUGGGCGGAGGCCUGACGGAGCAACGCCGCGUGAGUGAUGAAGGUCUUCGGAUCGUAAAACUCUGUUAUUGGGGAAGAACAAGUGUGUAAGUGACUGUGCGCGUCUUGACGGUACCUAAUCAGAAAGCCACGGCUAACUACGUG
RNAcentral lists this ribosomal RNA (497 nucleotides) under uncultured bacterium. RNAcentral's name for it is "partial 16S ribosomal RNA". It matches the Rfam family "Bacterial small subunit ribosomal RNA", at positions 28 to 507 of the family's 1533-position model. The record is from RNAcentral.